Molecule: long non-coding RNA, 974 nt
Organism: Amphiprion ocellaris (clown anemonefish)
Lineage: Eukaryota; Metazoa; Chordata; Actinopteri; Pomacentridae
Source: Ensembl
CCAGGAGGAGGGAAUGGAACCUGAGAGCAGCAGUGCAAGAGGCAGAGGCAGCUCUAAGGCAGCAGAAAUAGUAGAUCCCAGGAAAACCAGCGUGGAACACAGCAGGUCGAAAGGAUAAAGCUGCUAGUGGAACGGAUGCAGAGACAAGAGGAACUGUUGAGGGGAGCAAAGGCAGCUGGUCAGGACAAACAGGGGCAGUGGUUGAACUGGGAAGGUGUUGAGAAGAGGACCUGUGGAGGAUGGAAGAAAGCCGUAAUAAAGUUCUAGUAGGGGCAACAUACGAUGUGUUUCCAACCCCCCCAGAACCUCAGACUGUGGGUAGAUGGAGACCAAUCGUUCCCGCUGUGCUCAGGCGAACUCCAGCUCCAGCGCUGCCUCAGCAGGUGAGAUUCAGAGAGGAAACGCAGACGGCAGUGAUGUUGGUGAAAACUCGUCAGUUUGUUACAGACAUGAAGGUGAAGAAUUGGUCAGCAUGGAGCAAUGUCAGCAGGUUUCAGACGAUCUGCGACAGGCGGCGAGCCGAGCCGUUCACCUUUACCUGCAGCUCCAGGAUGUAAAGCAGCAGCCGGAGAUGAUGUCCGUCCUGCAGGAGGCCUUUCAGUGGGUUUCCUCUCGGCUGCAGGAGGCUCAGCGGAGCGGCGCCCCCUGAUGGUCAGCUGGAGAACCACGUCUACUGAGUUAUAAAUACCAGAAACACAUUCAGCAGUUCUGCUGCUGUCUAGACAUUCAGCUCUGUCCCAGAAACACUCCACUGAGGAAACGGGUAGAUUCACCUGUAAGCUCCGCCCCCUUCAUCCAGGUGACUCUGAGACAUUUAAUGAUGAAGCACCGGGACGGAUGUCUGGAUCCCAGCAGGACAGAUUAUUGAAACUGAAAACAUCCGAAUUCAACCCACAGCUGUAGUUUUAAUGUUUAUAAUAAAUAUUGCGUUUCAAGAAAUCGUGAAGUUUUUCAUGUGGAUCAGAAGAAAGAAG